RNAcentral lists this ribosomal RNA (433 nucleotides) under uncultured bacterium. Its description in RNAcentral is "partial 16S ribosomal RNA". It matches the Rfam family "Bacterial small subunit ribosomal RNA", at positions 29 to 507 of the family's 1533-position model. The record is from RNAcentral.
AACGAACGCUGGCGGCAUGCCUAACACAUGCAAGUCGAACGAAACCUUCGGGUCUAGUGGCGCACGGGUUCGUAACGCGUGGGAACCUGCCCUUAGGUUCGGAAUAACUCCCCGAAAGGGGUGCUAAUACCGGAUAAUGUCUUCGGACCAAAGAUUUAUCGCCUUUGGAUGGGCCCGCGUUGGAUUAGCUAGUUGGUAGGGUAAAAGCCUACCAAGGCGACGAUCCAUAGCUGGUCUGAGAGGAUGAUCAGCCACACUGGGACUGAGACACGGCCCAGACUCCUACGGGAGGCAGCAGUGGGGAAUAUUGGACAAUGGGCGAAAGCCUGAUCCAGCAAUGCCGCGUGAGUGAUGAAGGCCUUAGGGUUGUAAAGCUCUUUUACCCGGGAUGAUAAUGACAGUACCGGGAGAAUAAGCUCCGGCUAACUCCGUG